RNAcentral lists this ribosomal RNA (446 nucleotides) under uncultured bacterium. RNAcentral's name for it is "bacterial SSU rRNA". It matches the Rfam family "Bacterial small subunit ribosomal RNA", at positions 29 to 520 of the family's 1533-position model. The record is from RNAcentral.
AACGAACGCUGGCGGCAGGCCUAACACAUGCAAGUCGAACGCUGUAGCAAUACAGAGUGGCAGACGGGUGAGUAACGCGUGGGAACGUGCCCUUUGGUUCGUAAUAACCCAGGGAAACUUGGGCUAAUACCGGAUACGUCCGUAAGGAGAAAGAUUUAUCGCCAAAGGAUCGGCCCGCGUCGGAUUAGCUAGUUGGUGAGGUAAAGGCUCACCAAGGCGACGAUCCGUAGCUGGUCUGAGAGGAUGACCAGCCACACUGGGACUGAGACACGGCCCAGACUCCUACGGGAGGCAGCAGUGAGGAAUAUUGGACAAUGGGCGCAAGCCUGAUCCAGCCAUGCCGCGUGAGUGAAGAAGGCCUUAGGGUUGUAAAGCUCUUUCAGCGGGGAAGAUAAUGACGGUACCCGCAGAAGAAGCCCCGGCUAACUCCGUGCCAGCAGCAGCCG